This 422-nucleotide long non-coding RNA is filed under the name Gallus gallus (chicken). Its description in RNAcentral is "long non-coding RNA NONGGAT001336". Lineage: Eukaryota; Metazoa; Chordata; Aves; Galliformes; Phasianidae. The record is from RNAcentral.
GGCGGGCAGGGCCGGGGCUGAGGCGCUGAUCCGGGCCGUGACCUUCAGGCCGAGCCGCGGGCCCGGCGGAGCGAGGCACCAUGUGGCACUUCCCUACCUCACAAAAACCUCGCCCGUCUUGCGAACGGUUCACCGUCUCGCCAUCUUCUCCCCCGCUCCUUCAACUCGACGGAUUCACACCAACUUUCUACCAAAAAAAGAAAGCCCUAAAAAUGGUCUCCAACGGAUGCUGGCAUCGCCAUCCCAACUGUGGCGCUGGCUGUGCCGUUCAAUCCGCUGGCCGAGGGUUUCGGGGGCAGAAGGAGGCUGUGAGGAAAGUGGCAGUGCCCGCUGUGGGGAGGUGCAGGCGGGGCUGAGGCGCCGCCAUCGGCGCUCUCUGUGUGCCCCAAACUCGUUUCAAUCAUAAAUUUUGCUGUAAAUCU